RNAcentral lists this long non-coding RNA (1432 nucleotides) under Marmota monax (woodchuck). The record is from RNAcentral. Lineage: Eukaryota; Metazoa; Chordata; Mammalia; Rodentia; Sciuridae.
CUGUGGUCGAACUGCUGUCUAACUCUCUGGCUCACUCAGAGUAAAGGUUCAAAGACUUCCAGGAACUUCCAGCCCUGCAGGAUCUGAUCAUAUCAUUGGCCUCUACUCAGUGACUCUGCUCAGGGCAUACCACAGUUCUCAGUUUACCAUGAACACAAGCACAUGCUCCUGCCCCAGUGCCUUUGCACUGCUAUUUAUCCUUCCUGGAAAGAAUUUGAUACUGAUACCAUCAAGAUUAUUAUUCAUGUUCUUCAAAUCUUACCUCAAAGGUCAUCUUUUCAUCAAGGCACUGAGUACUUUGGCAAAUACUUGUCUUCCCUGUUGCCCCCACCACCACAUACCCUCUGAAUAAACUUGUAACUCUUAUGACUCCUAUAUGAACAUUGUGCUUAUUUAAUAUGUUUAUAGUGCAUCCUAUUCUAGCCAUUAGAACAUAUAUUUCACUAGGCUGGAUUUUUUUUUACUUUUCCUCUGAAUUUCCCAGAUAUAAAAAAUACUAUAACACAUAUUUUGAGACAGGGUCUCACUUGCUCAGGCUGGCUUCCAACUUUCAAUCCUCUUGAGCCACUAGGAUUACAGGUGUGUGCCACCAGCUGUCGUUCCUUCAUUUUUACUGCUGAAGUUUUACAUUUUAUGGUUAUACACAGUAUGCCACUUGCCUGAUGAUGUACAUGUGUUUGAUUCUACUCUGCCAUAAGCAUCAGUGCACACACAGAUAAGAUCACCCCAGGCAUAUGAUCAUGAGAAGGAACUUUCUUUCUUUCUUUCUUUCUUUUAGAGUAAUGUAUUUUAUUUAUUUUUAAUUAGUUAUUUUAUUUUUCCAUGUUUUUAUUGGUGCAUUAAAAUCAUACCUAAUGGUGGGAUUCACUGUUACAUAUUUAGACACACACACAUUAUAACAUUGUAAUUUGUCAACAUCCUUCCCCAGUAUCUCUUUCCCUUUCUCCUUCCUCCCCGUUUCCUUUCCUCUGAUGAACUCCCCUGGAUUUUCAUCAGACUCUAUCUCACAUCUUUCUUUCCCUUUUUCCCCUCUAGCUUCCACAUAUGAGAGGAAAAUAUACAAUUCAUGGCCUUCCAAGUUUGGCUUUUUUUGCUUAAUAUUCUCAAGUUCCAUCCAUUUCCCUACAAAUGACAUAAUUUCAUUUUUCUUUAUGGCUGAAUAAAACUCCAUUGUGUACAUAGACCACAUUUUCUUUAUCCAUUCAUCAACUGAUGGACACCUAGAGUGGUAACAUAUUUUGGCUUCUGUGAAUUGGCUUAAUCCAGUAUUUUUUAAAUCCUCAGUUAAACAAUUUUAUUGUGUAUAUAUGCAGUUACUAUUUAUAAGACAUUCUCUAAGAUGCUAUUGGGAUAUUAGUAUAUACAAUAAAUCCAUGGAUGACUACCUUCAAGAAUAUUUCAGUCUUGUAUGGGAGGUAAGAAAUGUGUUUGC